This is a transfer RNA of Loxodonta africana (African savanna elephant), 81 nucleotides long. It matches the Rfam family "tRNA". Rfam says of the family: Transfer RNA (tRNA) molecules are approximately 80 nucleotides in length. Lineage: Eukaryota; Metazoa; Chordata; Mammalia; Proboscidea; Elephantidae. The record is from Rfam.
GGUAGCGUGGCCGGGCGGUUUGAGGCUCUGGGUUAAGGCUCCAGUGUCUGCAGGCGGUGGGUUCGAAUCCCGCCACUGCCA